UAAAGCUAUGAUUGAUGCCCAAGAC
This 25-nucleotide non-coding RNA is filed under the name Mus musculus (house mouse). Lineage: Eukaryota; Metazoa; Chordata; Mammalia; Rodentia; Muridae. The record is from RNAcentral.